Molecule: long non-coding RNA, 509 nt
Filed under: Homo sapiens (human)
Lineage: Eukaryota; Metazoa; Chordata; Mammalia; Primates; Hominidae
Description: MIR193b-365a host gene
Source: RNAcentral
AUACUAGGGAAGGCAUCGAGCUUGAGGAAGAGGCCCCAUUCAUCUCCGUACCCCAGGCCCUGGUACACAGCAGGCAGCACCUUCUACCACCAUCCACCCUCCUCCGUGUUUUAUUUAUUUUGUUGAUUUCUCCUUCAUUGAAAUGUCAGCUCCAGGCGGGCACGCAUCUUUGUUGUGUUCUCUGCUGACUAUAUCCUCAGCACCUAGAACUGUGUCUGUCACCUAAUAGAUGCUCAAUAAACCUGCCAGUAAUUUCAGCAAAUGAAACGUGGAACACGUCAAGGCCAGAGGAUGGAAAAGGCUCCAGUUUUGAUAAAAGGAGGCCUGCUUGGCUUGGAAUCCUCUCUCCUGCUGGUUGGGAGAUGCAAAGAUGUUUCCAGAGAGGGGCUGAUGAAUUGAGGGGAAAGAAAUGAGCCCAGUAUGAGUCCCCUUUCAGGGCUGAGCGUGUAUAAAACCAAACAACUUGGAACCGCUCCAAGAGAGGGGAUUAAAGCAACAUGUUAUUCUGA